RNAcentral lists this small nuclear RNA (21 nucleotides) under Arabidopsis thaliana (thale cress). RNAcentral's name for it is "snRNA_16411". Lineage: Eukaryota; Viridiplantae; Streptophyta; Magnoliopsida; Brassicales; Brassicaceae. The record is from RNAcentral.
CUGAUAGCGCUUAAGCGCGAA